RNAcentral lists this ribosomal RNA (556 nucleotides) under uncultured soil bacterium. RNAcentral's name for it is "bacterial SSU rRNA". It matches the Rfam family "Bacterial small subunit ribosomal RNA", at positions 35 to 570 of the family's 1533-position model. The record is from RNAcentral.
GCUGGCGGCGUGCCUAACACAUGCAAGUCGAACGCGAAAGCCUCGCAAGGGGCCUGUAGCGUGGCAAACGGGUGAGUAACACGUGGGUGACCUGCCUUCGAGCGGGGGAUAACGUCCCGAAAGGGACGCUAAUACCGCAUGACAUCCUGCCUUUGAAGAGGUGGAGAUCAAAGCUGGGGAUCGCAAGACCUGGCACUUGAAGAGGGGCCCGCGUCUGAUUAGCUAGUUGGUGAGGUAAUGGCUCACCAAGGCAACGAUCAGUAUCCGGCCUGAGAGGGCGGACGGACACACUGGGACUGAGACACGGCCCAGACUCCUACGGGAGGCAGCAGUGGGGAAUUGUUCGCAAUGGGCGCAAGCCUGACGACGCAACGCCGCGUGGAGGAUGAAGACCUUCGGGUCGUAAACUCCUUUCGAUCGAGACGAAUGACCUUCGGGUGAAUAAUCCGGAGGAGUGACGGUACCGAGAGAAGAAGCCCCGGCUAACUCCGUGCCAGCAGCCGCGGUAAUACGGGGGGGGCAAGCGUUGUUCGGAAUUACUGGGCGUAAAGGGCUC